This 803-nucleotide small RNA is filed under the name Pongo abelii (Sumatran orangutan). RNAcentral describes it as "sense intronic". The record is from RNAcentral. Lineage: Eukaryota; Metazoa; Chordata; Mammalia; Primates; Hominidae.
GGUUCCUACUGCGUGCGUGCUAGUGACCCACAUCACACGCAUGGAAGCGUACGCAUGGAUGCCAGCCAUGCCACGUCUUCAGGCAGUCUGUUUCCAUUAGGUCACAAGCAUGAAGGUGAAAGAAAAAAAACAAUUAUUCCACGUGAACAGGUGAAAGAACAAUCUUCGACCACAAGACUCAACUUGAAUUGUCUUAUGAAUCUGUACUGCUCUCAGUUUUCUUGUACCCAGAUCCUUCAAGGGCACAUGGAAUGGUGGCUGCCGAUGGAAGUGGCGAGACAUCAACCGUGCCCAUCCCAGCUGCACUUGCUUCCUGGGGGUCUGCAUCGCCGCAGCCUAACCUUGAGGGGUGGCAGGGUACGUGCUGUUUCCCAGCUCACUCUCAUUCAACAAUUAAGAUACAACUGCUACGUUUUCAUCUAACAAUACUGGGAGAACAAAAUACGACUCAAUGGUGAAAUGUCUUCUGGGUUAUCUGAUGAAGUUUUAUCUUUAAAUAUUUUGUUAUCCAUUUUUGGCAUUGCUGUGAAUUUGGGACUGUUGCCACCAAUUCUGAGGGAUUUUAAACUGUGCUUUUAGAGUUUGUGAGAACCAAGCCUCAAGGGAUGCAUGAGACAGUUGAAGCACUGUAGUCUUGUUGGUCUCUCUUUGACAUUUCAUGUCUCUGGCAUAUCUGAAUUUAGGUUGGGAACUGGAGGUUGGGAACUGGGAACUGGAUUACUACCCUUUAUAAUCUGGCCAGUUCCAUACUCAGGGAAAACAAUUUGUUCCUAGAUGGCUGCAGCGUUUCAUUUAGAGUUGAG